CGGCAACAGCUCAAAUUUGAAAUCUGGCUCUUUUAGAGUCCGAGUUGUAAUUUGUAGAAGAUGCUUCGAGUGUGGUGCCGGUCUAAGUUCCUUGGAACAGGACGUCAUAGAGGGUGAGAGCCCCGUACGGUUGGACGCCUAGCCUUUGUAAAGCUCCUUCGAC
This 163-nucleotide ribosomal RNA is filed under the name Hyaloscyphaceae sp. Its description in RNAcentral is "partial large subunit ribosomal RNA". It matches the Rfam family "Eukaryotic large subunit ribosomal RNA", at positions 99 to 261 of the family's 3401-position model. The record is from RNAcentral. Lineage: Eukaryota; Fungi; Ascomycota; Leotiomycetes; Helotiales; Hyaloscyphaceae.